This 488-nucleotide ribosomal RNA is filed under the name Salmonella enterica. Its description in RNAcentral is "bacterial SSU rRNA". It matches the Rfam family "Bacterial small subunit ribosomal RNA", at positions 1035 to 1523 of the family's 1533-position model. The record is from RNAcentral. Lineage: Bacteria; Pseudomonadati; Pseudomonadota; Gammaproteobacteria; Enterobacterales; Enterobacteriaceae.
CAGGUGCUGCAUGGCUGUCGUCAGCUCGUGUUGUGAAAUGUUGGGUUAAGUCCCGCAACGAGCGCAACCCUUAUCCUUUGUUGCCAGCGGUCCGGCCGGGAACUCAAAGGAGACUGCCAGUGAUAAACUGGAGGAAGGUGGGGAUGACGUCAAGUCAUCAUGGCCCUUACGACCAGGGCUACACACGUGCUACAAUGGCGCAUACAAAGAGAAGCGACCUCGCGAGAGCAAGCGGACCUCAUAAAGUGCGUCGUAGUCCGGACUGGAGUCUGCAACUCGACUCCAUGAAGUCGGAAUCGCUAGUAAUCGUGGAUCAGAAUGCCACGGUGAAUACGUUCCCGGGCCUUGUACACACCGCCCGUCACACCAUGGGAGUGGGUUGCAAAAGAAGUAGGUAGCUUAACCUUCGGGAGGGCGCUUACCACUUUGUGAUUCAUGACUGGGGUGAAGUCGUAACAAGGUAACCGUAGGGGAACCUGCGGUUGGAU